CCAUUUCUGUUCUGUUUCAUGUUUCCUCUUCAACAUCUGGAACCGUUCUGACAAAACGGAAUAUCAAGGCCUACACUGUUCUUCAUUGGGGUGCCAAAUAUGGGAACGCAGACAUCAUAAAAAUCUUUGCCGGGAAGUACAAGGUUGAUGUAAAUGGAAAAACGGUAAGUUGUACAAUUAUAAUUGAUAAUAUUUUCUCAAAUUGUAAACUAAGUCAUUUAAUUACAAUCCAGUAUUGGCCCAAAGUCUUUCUUAUCUUUCAUUAGCAAACAUGUUUGAACUAUCUAAAAAACAAGUAUUAAAUUCCCGUAUCUAAAUUCAAAAAGAUUAUUGAAAUGACAUUUCAUUUUAAAAAAUGUAGCUUUCUAGCAGCAUACCAAGUACCGUAUGAUGGACUCACAGAUGGAACAGAAACAAUUUAAGGUUCUGGUGUAGGUGUUUUAGUGGCAGACCCAGGACAGAGAUAUCUACCUGCCUAGGAACAUAUGCGACUGUAUUUCAAGCGGAAAUAUAUGCUACUGAACUGUGUGCGGAAAGAUGGGAAGAAUUUAAUCUCAUACACAAGUCAAUAAAAA
This is a long non-coding RNA of Leptinotarsa decemlineata (Colorado potato beetle), 575 nucleotides long. The record is from RefSeq and is a predicted model, not a curated record. Lineage: Eukaryota; Metazoa; Arthropoda; Insecta; Coleoptera; Chrysomelidae.